This 103-nucleotide antisense RNA is filed under the name Vibrio metoecus. RNAcentral's name for it is "Vibrio RNA AS9". It matches the Rfam family "Vibrio RNA AS9". From Rfam's summary of the family: Identified by direct cloning an parallel sequencing experiments with 5S/tRNA depletion. Lineage: Bacteria; Pseudomonadati; Pseudomonadota; Gammaproteobacteria; Vibrionales; Vibrionaceae. The record is from RNAcentral.
CGGCGGCAACGCUCUUUGGUCAUGGUUAAACAGAUAAGGCCGCGACCAUGAGUCGCCAUGAAGUUAAUUGCUGCUGGCGUGAUAUGCUCCGCCGCCAUGAUCA